UGAGGAAUAUUGGUCAAUGGGCGGAAGCCUGAACCAGCCAUGCCGCGUGAAGGACUAAGGCCCUACGGGUCGUAAACUUCUUUUGACGCAGAGCAAUAAGGUUUACGUGUAGACCGAUGAGAGUAUGCGUCGAAUAAGCAUCGGCUAACUCCGUGCCAGCAGCCGCGGUAAUACGGAGGAUGCGAGCGUUAUCCGGAUUUAUUGGGUUUAAAGGGUGCGUAGGCGGAGAUGUAAGUCAGUGGUGAAAGGUCCCGGCUCAACCGGGGAGCUGCCAUUGAUACUGCGUUUCUUGAAUGCGGAUGCCGUGGGAGGAAUGUGUGGUGUAGCGGUGAAAUGCAUAGAUAUCACACAGAACACCGAUUGCGAAGGCAUCUCACGAAUCCGUAAUUGACGCUGAGGCACGAAAGCGUGGGGAUCAAACAGG
RNAcentral lists this ribosomal RNA (424 nucleotides) under uncultured bacterium. RNAcentral's name for it is "bacterial SSU rRNA". It matches the Rfam family "Bacterial small subunit ribosomal RNA", at positions 355 to 776 of the family's 1533-position model. The record is from RNAcentral.